This 1093-nucleotide long non-coding RNA is filed under the name Anas platyrhynchos platyrhynchos (common mallard). Its description in RNAcentral is "lncRNA (ENSAPLG00000026462.1)". The record is from RNAcentral. Lineage: Eukaryota; Metazoa; Chordata; Aves; Anseriformes; Anatidae.
CUGUAAUUAGAGGCAGCAAAUGCAAAGCACAUAUUAACUUUUCUGGUGGCUGAGCUGCCUUGCGUAUGCCUCCGUACAGAAUGCUGCUCAAAUAUAAAUUAGCCUUUGCAAAGCACACUUGGUGGAUAAAUAAAGGGGAGGAAAAGGACUCCUUGAAGUUUUGCUGUUAGGUACCAAAAGCAAGAGAGAAGGCCAUGUGUGCUGUGUUGGCAAGGAAGGCCAAUACAAGGCAAAGCGCUCACCCACGCAAGGUGAGAGGUGCUUGUGGUGUAGAUGUGACCACCUCUGUGCCCAGGAGGCAGAAGCUGUGAUGUGCUGGGCAGAAGGGGUUGCAAAUACGGAUGGAGCCCCAGCUGAACGAAAGGUCUGAGCAUUUGGGUAAUUUUGGCCAGGAGCAGUGUGACUGCGAGCAGUUCAGGUCCUGCUUGUGUCAGAGCCUGGCAGGAAAACACACAUUUCUGCUAUCUGCUUCCAGAGGCCCUAUGCAAUGCAGUGGCCAAGGACAUCCUCAGAACCCCGUGAGCAUUUCUGCUCUUCAAGUGCGGCAUGUGCAAAGGCUUUGCUCUUGGCUGUGGCCCACCUGUGCACCAAAAUGCAAGCCCCCGGGAGUAAGAAGGCUGCAGGGGUGAGCAUGAUGAGAAAUCACACCGCACCUGGCUUCUCCUCCCUAAUCUCCUGCCCAGGAGGCAGGGGAAACUCCUUGUUAAUCAGAUGUUUCCCCGAGCCAAAUGAACCCCACUUGCAUAACUCAUGCACUGGGGGUUCUGCACCACCGUGGAUGGGAUCGUGUCUGGCAGCUGAUGGCCGAGAGGACACUGUUGGGACCCCAUGGCAGCGGGACUGGGAAGCCCUGCACACCAGCUCACCCUCAGGCUGUCAGCAUCUCCAGUACAGCACCCCCAGGGUUUCUGAGGGGUUGUCAGGAGCAGUGAGUGGCAAAACCUGGGGAACCUGGGUUGUGACGGAUGUCUGCAGUGUCUGCCAGCAGCGGCUGCUGAUACUCGUGUGGCCUGUGAACUGGUUAGAAGUCUACAGUCUUCUGAAAUCCAAGGUGUGUGGUGGCUCUCCACAGGAAAGCCCUACAAAAUGGUGA